Molecule: long non-coding RNA, 957 nt
Organism: Hyla sarda
Lineage: Eukaryota; Metazoa; Chordata; Amphibia; Anura; Hylidae
Exons: 3
Source: RefSeq, a predicted model, not a curated record
CAUGGCAACCCCCCGUUCUGCCCGCCCCUGGAUGUCGAGGGGCUCUGGGAAGAAGAUGGAGGCCAUACCUGCAGGAGAAGAUGCCUGGGGACCUGGGAUCUUCGCUGGAGCCUGCAGGAUCCUGAUCAGAUAUGAAGAAGUCAUCAUGGCCGUCUAGGCCUGAUAGAGAAGAAAGAGAAUAAAUCCAACUGAAGAAGAUAAAACUUGUGUGCACUAGAUGUCACCUGAACUGCAGAGCACCUGGUUGGGUUCUAGUACUUGGGCAGCCGUAGAAGCAGAGAUGGCGGCGAGAGGUGAGACAUCUAGAAUCCCGUCUACCAUGAAAACGGCGGCCGGAGGAGUGGACCCGGUCCUGCUUCACGUACCAGCCAAGGGCAUCGUGUCAGCCAUUCCUCUCCUGACGCUUCUCCGCUCUUAUCUCCUCAUCAUGAGAAAAACCUAAACUCCAGAAAAGCUCGAACUUCACCAGUAGAUGGCAGCGCUACGCUUUCGGGUGGGACGAUGGCGUCCGGCGUCAACGCUUCAAAUAUUUCUGAUUAACAGAAAAAUUAAUAACAGUCAUUAUUGGCAUCUAUAAUAAACGAGCGGACGGUAAAGGCAGAAUAGAGAGAAACCCUGUGACCUGUAUAGAUAAAUACAGGGGCCAUAUUCGAAUUUGUAAUAUUUCGCGAAUAUAUUGACGAUUAUUCGUCCUAUGUUCGCGAUAUUCGCUAUAUUCCUUCACUUUUUGCUCCAUGCGAAAAUUUGCAUGGAAAAUUUGCAUAAACAUUUGCAUGUGAAAAAAAAUAUAUAUUUGUCAUUACCAAUAUAUAUAUAUAGCACUAUAUUCUAAAUAUUCCCAAAAAUUGUGAGGUGCUGAUAUUAGCGAUAACAUUCGAAUUAGGAAUAUUCGUGCUCAACACUAAUAAAUACAUGAGCGACCACCACUCUGUACAUUACGUAGACACGAUCACUUAU